GACGAACGCUGGCGGCAAGCCUAACACAUGCAAGUCGAACGAGAAAGCUCUUCGGAGUGAGUAUAGUGGCGCACGGGUGAGUAACGCGUGGGAAUGUACCCUUUAGUACGGAAUAGCCCCGGGAAACUGGGAUUAAUACCGUAUACGCCCUUCGGGGGAAAGAUUUAUCGCUAAAGGAUCAGCCCGCGUCGGAUUAGUUUGUUGGUGGGGUAAUGGCCUACCAAAACGAUGAUCUGUAGCUGAUUUGAGAGGAUGAUCAGCCACACUGGAACUGAGACACGGUCCAG
Molecule: ribosomal RNA, 287 nt
Filed under: uncultured bacterium
Lineage: Bacteria
Description: partial 16S ribosomal RNA
Rfam family: Bacterial small subunit ribosomal RNA
Source: RNAcentral